GAGAGCCCCGUCGUGCCCGGA
RNAcentral lists this small nuclear RNA (21 nucleotides) under Arabidopsis thaliana (thale cress). Its description in RNAcentral is "snRNA_04959". The record is from RNAcentral. Lineage: Eukaryota; Viridiplantae; Streptophyta; Magnoliopsida; Brassicales; Brassicaceae.